RNAcentral lists this ribosomal RNA (495 nucleotides) under uncultured bacterium. RNAcentral's name for it is "partial 16S ribosomal RNA". It matches the Rfam family "Bacterial small subunit ribosomal RNA", at positions 28 to 507 of the family's 1533-position model. The record is from RNAcentral.
GACGAACGCUGGCGGCGUGCCUAAUACAUGCAAGUAGAACGCUGAAGGAGGAGCUUGCUUCUCUGGAUGAGUUGCGAACGGGUGAGUAACGCGUAGGUAACCUGCCUGGUAGCGGGGGAUAACUAUUGGAAACGAUAGCUAAUACCGCAUAAUAGCAGUUGUUGCAUGACAACUGUUUGAAAGGUGCAAUUGCACCACUACCAGAUGGACCUGCGUUGUAUUAGCUAGUUGGUGGGGUAACGGCUCACCAAGGCGACGAUACAUAGCCGACCUGAGAGGGUGAUCGGCCACACCGGGACUGAGACACGGCCCAGACUCCUACGGGAGGCAGCAGUAGGGAAUCUUCGGCAAUGGACGGAAGUCUGACCGAGCAACGCCGCGUGAGUGAAGAAGGUUUUCGGAUCGUAAAGCUCUGUUGUAAGAGAAGAACGAGUGUGAGAGUGGAAAGUUCACACUGUGACGGUAUCUUACCAGAAAGGGACGGCUAACUACGUG